RNAcentral lists this ribosomal RNA (316 nucleotides) under uncultured eukaryote. RNAcentral's name for it is "partial 18S ribosomal RNA". It matches the Rfam family "Eukaryotic small subunit ribosomal RNA", at positions 1470 to 1796 of the family's 1831-position model. The record is from RNAcentral.
CCCUUAGAUGUUCUGGGCCGCACGCGUGCUACACUGACCGGCGCAACAAGUUUCUUUCCUUGGCCCGAUAGGCCUGGGUAAUCUUUGAACGCCGGUCGUGAUGGGGAUAGAUCCUUGCAAUUUUUGAUCUUCAACGAGGAAUUCCUAGUAAAUGCGAGUCAUCAUCUCGCGUUGAUUACGUCCCUGCCCUUUGUACACACCGCCCGUCGCACCUACCGAUUGAAUGGUCCGGUGAAGCCUCGGGAUUGCGAAUGCUUCGUGCGGACGCGAGAACUUGGCUAAACCUUACCAUUUAGAGGAAGGUGAAGUCGUAACA